This 315-nucleotide long non-coding RNA is filed under the name Gallus gallus (chicken). Lineage: Eukaryota; Metazoa; Chordata; Aves; Galliformes; Phasianidae. The record is from RNAcentral.
GUUCUUCAGCCGCUCCUUGUUGGACUGGGGAGUGCUGAUCUGGGGCACGACGGGACUGAGGAGUUUGUUCAUCAGCUCUAAGACUUUAUCAGGGUUCUUUGCAAGGUCGUAUAGUUUUGCUGCUUCUUCAAACAAUCCUUUAUUUUCUGCCGCAGAAGCCACUUUGUUAAUAAUAGGUUUUGUGUCACUAUUAAACUUGUCUAUCACUCCGGGCUUUCGACUGCCAUCGUUUUCCAGCUUUCCGAGAAUCAUAUCAAACUCUCUGCUUUCAAUUACUAGCUCACUAACACAGCGCAAGAACAUAUUCUCUCCUUG